GACGAGGGGUCCUAGCGUUGUUCGGAAUCAUUGGGCGUAAAGCGUGUGUAGGCUGCCAUUCAAGUCAGUUGUGAAAUCCCCGGGCUUAACCCGGGAAGUGCUUCUGAUACUGUUUGGCUUGAGUACUGGAGAGGAUAGUAGAAUUCCUGGUGUAGUGGUGAAAUACGUAGAUAUCAGGAGGAAUACCGGUGGCGAAGGCGGCUAUCUGGACGAUGACUGACGCUGAGACGCGAAAGCGUGGGGAGCAAACAGG
This 253-nucleotide ribosomal RNA is filed under the name uncultured bacterium. Its description in RNAcentral is "partial 16S ribosomal RNA". It matches the Rfam family "Bacterial small subunit ribosomal RNA", at positions 524 to 776 of the family's 1533-position model. The record is from RNAcentral.